UGGGGAAUAUUGCACAAUGGGCGCAAGCCUGAUGCAGCCAUGCCGCGUGUGUGAAGAAGGCCUUCGGGUUGUAAAGCACUUUCAGCGAGGAGGAAGGUGGUGGACUUAAUACGUUCAUCAAUUGACGUUACUCGCAGAAGAAGCACCGGCUAACUCCGUGCCAGCAGCCGCGGUAAUACGGAGGGUGCAAGCGUUAAUCGGAAUUACUGGGCGUAAAGCGCACGCAGGCGGUUUGUUAAGUCAGAUGUGAAAUCCCCGGGCUCAACCUGGGAACUGCAUUUGAAACUGGCAAGCUAGAGUCUCGUAGAGGGGGGUAGAAUUCCAGGUGUAGCGGUGAAAUGCGUAGAGAUCUGGAGGAAUACCGGUGGCGAAGGCGGCCCCCUGGACGAAGACUGACGCUCAGGUGCGAAAAGCGUGGGGAGCAAAACAGGAUUAGAUACCCUGGUAGUCACGCUGUAAACGAUGUCGAUUUUGGAGGUUGUGCCCUUGAGGCGUGGNUUCCGAGCUAACGCGUUAAAUCGACCGCC
This 527-nucleotide ribosomal RNA is filed under the name uncultured bacterium. Its description in RNAcentral is "partial 16S ribosomal RNA". It matches the Rfam family "Bacterial small subunit ribosomal RNA", at positions 355 to 873 of the family's 1533-position model. The record is from RNAcentral.